Long non-coding RNA from Perca flavescens (yellow perch), 1317 nucleotides. RefSeq lists it as uncharacterized. NCBI's taxonomy places the organism in Eukaryota, Metazoa, Chordata, Actinopteri, Perciformes, Percidae. The record is from RefSeq and is a predicted model, not a curated record. The transcript has 3 exons.
GUUGUUUUUGGCUAGCGCUGAAGUAGGCAUUUCUGUCAGAAUACUACAGUACUCACUGUAGACCUCAACACCCCCAUAAUGCCUUACAUUCUCUUCACUGCUCCUUACAUCUUCAGUAAUGUUGGCUUUUAUUCAGAAAAUAUGUUGGCGCCAUCAGCUCGCGACCUUUUUAAAUACUCGUCGUCUGCGACUGGUUAGCAAGAGCGCCGAGUCCUGUGUCGAUGCUCCAAAAAGGGUAGACGCGGAAGUCUCAGAUUGAUAUCUCAAACCUGGGCAAAGAAAACCUACACUACAGUAUCUGCAAGGCUAGAUACCACCCCAUUGUUUCAAUUUUCGGAAGAAGAACAGUGUAGCGGGAACAGAGAGAGAGAUGAAAAAAGCAGCUCGGCUCAUGUACGUCCAUGACAAAGACGGAGCCAGAUGAGGGCUUCUCUGCUCCCCACAUGUGGACGAGAGAGUCGAGUCUCAGUGUGUGUGUGUGUGUGUGUGUGUGUGUGUGUGUGUGUGAAGACAGCUGGAAAAUUCCCCUGAGCCCAGUCUAAUUGAAAGCUUAUCAUCUUCUCUUUGUGCUUCCUGAGCGGUGGGGGAUCAGCAGGGAGCGACGCAGAGAGCAACUCUGUGAUGAGACCUGGAGGAAAUAGUUGGGAAUGUUUUGAGACGCUGCAGAUCUGUCUCACACUCGCACUGUGAAGUGGAGCUCAGGCUGUCUGGGUGGAGGGUGGCGUGAGACCUGUCAGCAGGGGAUUGUGCGUGAGGGAGUUUCUUGUGUGUGUGUGUGUGUGUGUGUGUGUGUGGAAAUGCUUUGAGUGUGCAGAGUUAAUUGAAUACAGUGUGUAUCAAGACUGCGUGUGUGCGUCCUGAGGCUUUGCUGUUCUGCCAACACCGCCCCCAUAGAAGGCUUGACACAGACACAGCAGAAGCCAUACAGAAGGAAAGAAAGGAUAGAAGUGAAUAAGAAGAAAGGAUAAAAGAGGAACGUGUAUAGAUACACUACAGGAGUGUAUAAACAGGAAAAAAUAAAAGGGUGACUAAUUUGAAGAUGGAAAAACAAAGCAUUUAGAAGUGAAAGCCCUUUCAUAGUACAUCAACAGGUGGCAUUAGUUUAAGAGGGAGGAACUGUGGGUAUUGUAUUUCAGGUUAACCACAUGAGACAUUUGAAAUCAGACCACCCGACAAGGUAGCAUCUCAAGUGUUUAAUCUUGUGGCUCUGCUUCAAAUGGGCCAAACCGAUGCCAUCAGCGCCGCGCAAAUUAACAACCACAUAGCUGGUAAAAAAGACGGCCGACAUUCCGAGCUUCUCCUGUAUUGUUUUUAACA